This is a long non-coding RNA of Rosa chinensis, 1451 nucleotides long. RefSeq lists it as uncharacterized. The record is from RefSeq and is a predicted model, not a curated record. NCBI's taxonomy places the organism in Eukaryota, Viridiplantae, Streptophyta, Magnoliopsida, Rosales, Rosaceae. The transcript has 7 exons.
AGCCAAACUUUAAUAUUUAUCUUCGGCGAACGUUUGCAGUCGCAAACUUCCAAUGCUUGGCGACUGCGUCUAAAAUGCCGUCGCAACUAGAGAACAACUACGAGCCCAAUUCUCUUAUUAAAUCUAUUUUCUCAUAAAAAAACCCUAGCCUAUUUCUCUCAAUCCCUGUUCUCUACCGCAUCCCUCUUUCUCUUUCUCUCUGUUCUCGAUCUCACUGAAGCAGAUCGGAUCGGAACUUCCCGUCGCUGGUCCUCCGUGUUCAGUCUCUCCGCUCAGUCCUCUCUCUCUCUCGCUCAGCGGCUCAGUUGUUGUCGUUCUCUCUCUCUCUCUUAUACAUAUCACUUUGUCUCAGCGGCUCAGAACCAGAUCGGAACCGGCGGCUUCAGCUUCUUCAUCGCUCAGUAGCUCUUGCUCUCUCUUUCUCUCUGCGCGCGCGGCUGCUCUGAAGACUGAAACCAGAUCUUUCCGAACCAAAAGAAAACCCCCAAAGCCUUCUCUCUCAGCCUCUCUCACAUCUAGCCCUAAAUCGCUCUUCGUUGGGUGGAGAAAUAGAAGAGGUUGUAUAAGCUAGAGAGUUGUUGGAAAUGAAUGCUGAAGCUUUGCAAGUUGCUAAGGCAUACCGCCACCUUCUCAAAGCUGUCAAGAACCACGUUGCCAAAGAAGACACUAAGCGGCAUUUCAGAGAUUAUGUAACUGAAGAAUUUAGAUUCACAUGAAAAACCCAGAUACCAUGGAGUUUCCUACCUAAUUGAUUUUUUCCUGUGGUUUUCUUUGAAAUUUGCAGGUAUUUGAGCAAUUAUGGUUCCAGGGUAGUGGUAAACAAUUCUGGUGUGGAAGAAAACAAGGAAAAGACGGUGGUUAUCUAAAGCUUGACUUGUACGAGAAUUCUGUUAUCUAAAGUUGGGGAACUGCAUAUUUACCUUGCUAGCAAUCUAAUUUCAUGUUCAAGGCCUAUUGGCAAUGACGUAAUUAGCAUUUAUUUGGGAACAAUCUUCUUGCAAGGAAAGGAGAGGGCUGGAAAUCCUGAGACAUUGAGUCUAAAGCUAGGAAGUGACAUUAUUUUAACUGAAAAGGUUCAACCCUGCGGUGGUAUUUGGAGUGACAACUGCUCUUUGAAAAUGGGAAGAAGACGCCCCUUCAUACUUGCAGGAUCUCUCAUUAUCUCUGUUGCCAUGCCAUAAGUCAAUCAUUGCAAUUCUAGAGCUGCGUGCUAGGUGGGGGAACAGGAACUCAGCUAGCUUGCAUGAAUUUUGUUUUUUGGGGAAUUGCAGGUUCCAGAUGCAACUAGUGACCAUGCAUGAAAUUCGGAGAGAGUCUGUAGGAGAAGAAAGGAAUCCAGAUUCAAGCAGUGAUAGAGCAAUGGGCUGAGUUUCAAUAUGUUAUUGCAUAUUUUUGUUAAGUGUUACUCUUAGUUGUCUUCAUUAGGAACUUGAUUUUGGGCAUAUAUAAAU